This 520-nucleotide ribosomal RNA is filed under the name Cenococcum geophilum. RNAcentral describes it as "eukaryotic LSU rRNA". The stretch from base 173 to 326 matches the Rfam family "5.8S ribosomal RNA". The record is from RNAcentral. Lineage: Eukaryota; Fungi; Ascomycota; Dothideomycetes; Gloniales; Gloniaceae.
GUUCCGUAGGUGAACCUGCGGAAGGAUCAUUACAGAAAGUAAACGCGGAUCAAACCGCGAACUUCUAAACCUUUGACGAUUGACUCAUGUUGCCUCGGCGGGUUCUCCCGCCAGAGGAUACAUCAAAACUCCUGUUUUAACGGUGUUGUCUGAGCUACAAGCAACGAAUCAAAACUUUCAACAACGGAUCUCUUGGUUCUGGCAUCGAUGAAGAACGCAGCGAAAUGCGAUAAGUAGUGUGAAUUGCAGAAUUCAGUGAAUCAUCGAAUCUUUGAACGCACAUUGCGCCCCUUGGUAUCCCGAGGGGCAUGCCUGUUCGAGCGUCAUUUCACCACUCAAGCCUGGCUUGGUGUUGGGCGACGUCCCCUUUGGGGACGCGCCUCGAAACGCUCGGCGGCGUGGCACCGGCUUUAAGCGUAGCAGAAUCUUUCGCUUUGAAAGUCGGGGCCCCGUCUGCCGGAAGACCUACUCGCAAGGUUGACCUCGGAUCAGGCAGGGAUACCCGCUGAACUUAAGCAUA